GGAGAUGGCGAAAUUGGUGGAAGAAACACUAUUACGGAUAGUGAAGUGAAUUGGACUGUAGCCCUAACUUAGAUUCGGCCGGUUCCAGCCACUUCCCAGGCAAACGCGUCUGACCGGUGGGCUGUGCAAGUGAUUUCGGUCAGGGAGGCAGGGCGGCGAGAUGCACGCGUCGUCGAAACGGUGCGUGGAGGACAUGCGCCGUUACCGAAAAACCUGGAAAUUCUCUAGAAUGCUCCCUGACCACCUACGAUGCCUAUUCCAUCGUCAAAUGUGCCAUUUAUACACAAUCAGGGGAGAAAGUUAAUGGAUGGAGACGGCAUGGUAUUCAACUAUCGUUUUCGAGUGGAGGCGAAGAGUUUGCAAUUUUUGUUAACAAUCUCGAUGUUGUUAGGAUGAUCGAGUGGGGCUCGAAGUUAUGGGGUGAGUUUGUGGAAGUAUAUCCGACGAGGAUGGAAUGACUUUCGAGAGAAAUUGACUUAUAUGAUGGGAAAUGGCUAUAGUAUCAGAUUUUGGGAUGAUUGUUGGUGUGAAGAUUAUC
This 538-nucleotide long non-coding RNA is filed under the name Olea europaea (common olive). RNAcentral describes it as "long non-coding RNA (OEUR_LNC004944)". The record is from RNAcentral. Lineage: Eukaryota; Viridiplantae; Streptophyta; Magnoliopsida; Lamiales; Oleaceae.